UACGAGGGGGGCGAGCGUUGUUCGGAAUUAUUGGGCGUAAAGGGUGCGUAGGCGGUUUGGUAAGUCUUGUGUGAAAGCCCCGAGCUCAACUUGGGAAUUGCAGUGGAUACUGGCAGGCUGGAGUACGGUAGAGGAAGGUGGAAUUCCCGGUGUAGCAGUGAAAUGCGUAGAUAUCGGGAGGAACACCAGUGGCGAAGGCGGCCUUCUGGACCAGUACUGACGCUCAUGCACGAAAGCGUGGGGAGCAAACAGG
RNAcentral lists this ribosomal RNA (253 nucleotides) under uncultured bacterium. Its description in RNAcentral is "partial 16S ribosomal RNA". It matches the Rfam family "Bacterial small subunit ribosomal RNA", at positions 524 to 776 of the family's 1533-position model. The record is from RNAcentral.